RNAcentral lists this ribosomal RNA (468 nucleotides) under uncultured bacterium. RNAcentral describes it as "partial 16S ribosomal RNA". It matches the Rfam family "Bacterial small subunit ribosomal RNA", at positions 28 to 507 of the family's 1533-position model. The record is from RNAcentral.
GGCGAACGCUGGCGGCGUGCUUAACACAUGCAAGUCGAACGGAAAGGCCCUGCUUUUGUGGGGUGCUCGAGUGGCGAACGGGUGAGUAACACGUGAGUAACCUGCCCUUGACUUUGGGAUAACUCCAGGAAACUGGGGCUAAUACCGGAUAGGAGCUCCUGCUGCAUGGUGGGGGUUGGAAAGUUUCGGCGGUUGGGGAUGGACUCGCGGCUUAUCAGCUUGUUGGUGGGGUAGUGGCUUACCAAGGCUUUGACGGGUAGCCGGCCUGAGAGGGUGACCGGCCACAUUGGGACUGAGAUACGGCCCAGACUCCUACGGGAGGCAGCAGUGGGGAAUAUUGCACAAUGGGCGGAAGCCUGAUGCAGCAACGCCGCGUGCGGGAUGACGGCCUUCGGGUUGUAAACCGCUUUCGCCUGUGACGAAGCGUGAGUGACGGUAAUGGGUAAAGAAGCACCGGCUAACUACGUG